GUCUACAUAGCUUAAAGGUAAAGCGUUCGUUUCGUAAGCGAAAGAUUUGGAGUUCAAGUCUCUCUGUAGGCA
RNAcentral lists this transfer RNA (72 nucleotides) under Guillardia theta. Its description in RNAcentral is "tRNA-Thr". It matches the Rfam family "tRNA". From Rfam's summary of the family: Transfer RNA (tRNA) molecules are approximately 80 nucleotides in length. Their secondary structure includes four short double-helical elements and three loops (D, anti-codon, and T loops). Lineage: Eukaryota; Cryptophyceae; Pyrenomonadales; Geminigeraceae. The record is from RNAcentral.